UCGCGCUAAGUGGGGUGCUGGCGGUCCCCUGCACCGGCAAUCCGCCUUAGCCGGACCGAAUUCCCGCGCUGAGGUCGGGUCCUUGGCCUGGCCGCGGCUAACGGCGUUGAAGGUCGGGACCUGCGCAGCCUGGGUCUCCGAACCCCGUCAGGUCCGGAAGGAAGCAGCGGUAAGGAGAGAACCUGGGGGUGCCGCAGUCAUUCGGGCCGGAGCUGUGAACCGCGGUGCGAACUGGGGCACUUCGAUCGAAGCGGGGGUGCGCGG
This 264-nucleotide signal recognition particle RNA is filed under the name Chloroflexota bacterium. RNAcentral describes it as "Chloroflexi bacterium signal recognition particle sRNA large type". It matches the Rfam family "Bacterial large signal recognition particle RNA". Rfam says of the family: The signal recognition particle (SRP) is a universally conserved ribonucleoprotein involved in the co-translational targeting of proteins to membranes. Archaeal SRP consists of a 7S RNA and homologues of the eukaryotic SRP19 and SRP54 proteins. In most bacteria, the SRP consists of a 4.5S RNA and the Ffh protein (a homologue of the eukaryotic SRP54 protein). Lineage: Bacteria; Bacillati; Chloroflexota. The record is from RNAcentral.